CACAAGCAGCGGAGCGUGUGGUUUAAUUCGAUGCAACGCGAAGAACCUUACCAGGGUUUGACAUGCUUAAAGUAGAAACUCGAAGAGGGACGACCUGUAUCCAGUCAGGAGUUUGCACAGGUGCUGCAUGGCUGUCGUCAGCUCGUGUCGUGAGAUGUUCGGUUAAGUCCGCUAACGAGCGCAACCCUCACUGUGUGUUAUAUGUGUCACACGGGACUGCCGGUUUUAAGCCGGAGGAAGGUGGGGAUGACGUCAAGUCAGCAUGGCCUUUAUAUCCUGGGCUACACACACGCUACAAUGGUCGGUACAAUAGGUUGCCAAGCCGCGAGGCGGAGCCAAUCCACAAAGCCGGCCUCAGUUCAGAUUGUAGGCUGCAACUCGCCUGCAUGAAGAUGGAGUUGCUAGUAAUCGCAGGUCAGCAAUACUGCGGUGAAUACGUUCCCGGGUCUU
Molecule: ribosomal RNA, 450 nt
Filed under: uncultured Anaerolineaceae bacterium
Lineage: Bacteria; Bacillati; Chloroflexota; Anaerolineae; Anaerolineales; Anaerolineaceae
Description: bacterial SSU rRNA
Rfam family: Bacterial small subunit ribosomal RNA
Source: RNAcentral